Molecule: ribosomal RNA, 445 nt
Filed under: uncultured bacterium
Lineage: Bacteria
Description: partial 16S ribosomal RNA
Rfam family: Bacterial small subunit ribosomal RNA
Source: RNAcentral
AACGAACGCUGGCGGCAGGCUUAACACAUGCAAGUCGAGCGCCCGCAAGGGAGCGGCAGACGGGUGAGUAACGCGUGGGAAUCUACCCAGUUCUACGGAAUAACCCAGGGAAACUUGGACUAAUACCGUAUACGCCCUACGGGGGAAAGAUUUAUCGGAAUUGGAUGAGCCCGCGUAAGAUUAGCUAGGUGGUGGGGUAAUGGCCUACCAAGGCGACGAUCUUUAGCUGGUCUGAGAGGAUGAUCAGCCACACGGGGACUGAGACACGGCCCAGACUCCCACGGGAGGCAGCAGUGGGGAAUAUUGGACAAUGGGCGCAAGCCUGAUCCAGCCAUGCCGCGUGAGUGAUGAAGGCCUUAGGGUUGUAAAGCUCUUUCAGUGGGGAAGAUAAUGACGGUACCCACAGAAGAAGCCCCGGCUAACUUCGUGCCAGCCGCCGCCGUAA